UGUAAAGUUCAAGCUCCGAUUGUGAGGGCGAAACCGCGAAUGGCUCAUUAAAUCAGUCAUGAUCUACUUGAUUGUUUAAAGUUUAAAUGGAUAACUGUGGUAAUUCUAGAGCUAAUACAUGCGUGAAGGGGGCGACUCCGCGAGGAGAAGCUCUGCGUUUAUUAGACUAAGACCGGCGGGCCCCGCAAGGGGCUCUCGCUUUGGUGGUGACUCUGAGUAAAUAAUGGGUGCAAGCCCAUGUUGCCGACCUGGCAUCCCAAACGGCCCUCGGGCCGGCCAGGCGAAUCAAUCGAGUGUCUGCUCUAUCAACUGUGGAUGGUAGGGUAAUUGCCUACCAUGGUGGUGACGGGUAACGGGGAGUUAGGGCUCGACUCCGGAGAACAAGCCUGAGAAACGGCUAGUAGGACUAAGGUCUGCAGCAGGCGCGAAACUUACACAAUGCUAGAUUUCUAUCAUAGCGAUGUAGUGAAGAAAAAUAACGAUGUGCUUGUAUUUAAACAUACUUGCACAAUUGGAAUGAGACGACUCUAAACCAGUCAGUCGAGUAACAAAUGGAGGGCAAGUCUGGUGCCAGCAGCCGCGGUAAUUCCAGCUCCAUUAGCAUACAUUAAAGUUGUUGCGGUUAAAAAGCUCGUAGUUGAAUAUUGGACGGGCCUUUGUUGGCGGCGGUCGUUAAAGGUUAACUCGGACUCCGGUCCAGCUGGCUGGCCGUCGACCAGCUUGGGGCUCGUUGUUUCGUCACUUAAUCGAGUGCGAAGCGGGUCGGAGCAAGCUGCAGCAAUGCACUCGCGACGACAUGUUUACCUUGAGAAAAUUAGAGUGCUCAGAGCAGGCAGUUGGGGUGUAAAAGCCCCUUUAUGCUUGAAUAAUGUUGCAUGGAAUAAUAGAAUACGGCCUCGGUUCUAUUCUGUUGGUCUUAUAGAACAACAAACAAGUUGGCUGGGGCACUAAACGGCGCGCCAAGGGCGUGGCCGCGCGCCCGUCCCUGUUGUCUGGGGCCUAAAAAUCUCAGUACCUCGGCGGAGCGCGGCCGCUAAGCGCCCUCGGCUGCGUUAGCCACCAACCAACUGAGGCAAUGGUUAAAAGAAAUAGUCGCGGCGGCAUCAGUACUGCAUCGUGAGAGGUGAAAUUCUUAGACCGAUGCAAGACUAACUGAAGCGAAAGCGUUUGCCGAGGAUAUUUUCAUUAAUCAAGAACGAAAGUUAGAGGUUCGAAGGCGAUCAGAUACCGCCCUAGUUCUAACCAUAAACGUUGCCAACUAGCAAUUGGAUUGCGAUUCCUUUAGUUGGAGCCUAAAAAACUCCAACCAUUAUGAUCCAUCCAGCGGCUCUCGUAGGGAAACCAAAGUGUUUGGGUUCCGGGGGAAGUAUGAUUGCAAAGUUGAAACUUAAAGGAAUUGACGGAAGGGCACCACCAGGAGUGGAGCCUGCGGCUUAAUUUGACUCAACACGGGGAAACUUACUAGAUUAGAACUCUGGAAUGAUUGACAGAUUGAUAGCUCUUUCUUGAUUCAGAGGAUGGUGGUGCAUGGCCGUUCUUGAUUCGUAUUCCGAAACGUCUGCCUAAUCGCGAUAACGAGUGAGACCUCUUCACGCAAACUAGUUGCUCGGUGCGCUGUGGGACGCAAAAGUUCGCCUCCGGUUCUAGGCGAGUGGCCUCGGUUGCUCGCCACCCGGGCGCGGAUGUCCUCUGCUCGCCAGCAGACUUCUCUGCGGGAUCAUGAGUAAAAAACUCAGAGAGACGAGGCAAUAACAGGUCUGUGAUGCCCUAGAUAUUCUAGGCCGCACGCGUGCUACAAUGGCGUGUGCAGAGAGCUUGUUCGAGCUCCGUCCGUGGACGGCUGGCUGUUUGGUUCAGUUGGGGGCAACUCUGGCUGGGUCGGCGGUUAAGUGGCCACGGUAGCGGGGCGAGAGAAACCGCGGUCGAAAGAUCGCGGCAAUCAUAAAUACACGCCGUGAUUUGGGAUUGGGGAUUGCAAUUGUUGCCCAUGAACGAGGAAUUCCCAGUAAGCGCGAUUCAUCAUAUCGCGCUGAUUACGUCCCUGCCCUUUGUACACACCGCCCGUCGCUACUACCGAUUGGAAGUUUUAGUGAGGCAUCUGGACUUGCUGGCCAAGGGAGGGGCAACUCUUCCAGGCUUGGCGGGGAAGUUUGUCGAACUCAAAUUUCUAGAGGAAGUAAAAGUCGUAACAAGGUUUCCGU
This 2201-nucleotide ribosomal RNA is filed under the name Tetraspinus cf. indocalami Z278_2. RNAcentral describes it as "partial small subunit ribosomal RNA". It matches the Rfam family "Eukaryotic small subunit ribosomal RNA". The record is from RNAcentral. Lineage: Eukaryota; Metazoa; Arthropoda; Arachnida; Trombidiformes; Eriophyidae.